This 391-nucleotide long non-coding RNA is filed under the name Musa acuminata (dwarf banana). Its description in RNAcentral is "long non-coding RNA (MACU_LNC008693)". Lineage: Eukaryota; Viridiplantae; Streptophyta; Magnoliopsida; Zingiberales; Musaceae. The record is from RNAcentral.
AUAUAUAUAUAUGUUUUGCAGAAAAAAAGAAGUUUCUUGGAUGGCAACCACGAGGACGACGACGGCUUAAGCCAUUAAACUCAACCAAAACGGAAGGCGAAACGAGCAGUGAAAGAAUACCAACGGAGUGAGCCCCAGUCUUCCUCUAAAUGCUGCAGUGAAAGUUAACACCAUUUACACAAGGAUCUCCCGGGAUACGAUGAUGAGCACCACGCCGCAGAAAACGUCAAAACACAAAAGGAAGAAGCACCAAGACGAUCCGAUGGAGCAUUGUGAACGCUGGAGAACCAAACUUUGAAUUGACUCUCCACCAUGUGACGAAUCGUGUACUACGUACGUUCCCUGUGUGACCUAAACAUCGUGAAAUGACGAUCGAGCAUAUGAUUCUGGA